Scleropages formosus (Asian bonytongue) is the source of this 2195-nucleotide long non-coding RNA. RefSeq lists it as uncharacterized. The transcript has 3 exons. NCBI's taxonomy places the organism in Eukaryota, Metazoa, Chordata, Actinopteri, Osteoglossiformes, Osteoglossidae. The record is from RefSeq and is a predicted model, not a curated record.
UGAUGACAUGUUUUCUGUAGCAGUGUUACAAGGAUGAGAUGCACUGACUGUUAGCCUGCAGGGUGACAUGAUUUGUGUCCAGUUUUUUCAGUGGAGCCAUUUUUGACCAAAUUAAAUCACAAACAAUUCAUUGUGAUUCUUAGGUUUCCACCCUGAUGCAUGUCGCCCUAUGGGGAAGGAGGUGGUCCCAUGCAGAAAAGGUAAAGGACGGAGGUUCUUGGUGGCUCCGUUGUGGUGGAACGACCUCCCCCUCCCACUCACAACUGCUGAAUCUUUGUCCACAUUUUAAAAGGGUCUUUAAACUCACCUCUUCCAAAUUCACUGCACUCAUCAUCUCUUAAGGUCAUCUAAGGUGUAAAUGUUCAUGCACCAGAUCUUUAAGAUGUCCAGAUAAACCUCUACACAUCUACUCCUGUAAUGUAACAUACAUGUUUAUUUGUGUCUCAAAAAAAAUUUGCUAGGAAGGUGAUCAGGAAUUGUCGAUAUUCUAAUAGUGUCUUUUUUACAGCUACUCAUGUGAUGAGCAUUGGUUCAUGUGGUGGAAAGAAACAAACUGCAUUUAAGAAUCACACGUCUGGAUCUAAGUGUCUCUUUCUGCUAAUGUAACGAACACAUUGUAUUUUCUAUGAGAUUUACAUCACUUUGGAGAAAAGCAUCUGUUAAAUGAAUACAGGUAAGGAGUAAACAUGGUAAUUAUUACAGGCCUCUUCUGUACAAACAUACCUCUGGCUUUUGGGGGAGGGGACUGUGAAGUGCAGGCCUGCUUUGAAAAUGGCAAAAAACAAACAUUAAAAAUAUUACAAACUAUGACAAUUCUGUGUAAAGCUAACCAGUUUUCAGCGCAGUAAAUUGAGUGCAGUAUUUUCUCCAAAUGUAUCUGCAGACACUUUUCUGGGACGACCCCACAGCUCUUGGCAGAUUCUCACAGGGCUACGUAGCCUAAAGAGGUUAAGAAGCUCUGAGUCGAGAUGCUCGCUUCCCUUCUCCCUACAGGCUUCAGGCUUCACUCUAAGAGUCCACCGCUUGGUCCCCCACUCAACCGGUCCAAGAUGAAAAGCUCAAAGGUUUUUGGUUCCGCUUCCGAUGUGGUGGAAUGACCUCCCCCUCUCACUCAGAACUGCUGAAUCCCUCUCUACAAUUAAGAAGGGCCUCAAAACUCACCUCAGUCAGAUUCGCUUCUACCUUGAUCUCUUAAGUGCAUGAUAAUUUUGUGCUUAUGUUUAAUCACAGUUUGUUUAAUGAUGGCAAAGCCUAUAUGCAGCUACUCAUGUAAUGUUCAUAUGGUGGAAUCUGAAAAAUUGUCAUUAACUUUAGAAUUAUGUGUCUUCAUCCAAGUCUCUCCUCCUGUUGAUGUGAAGCACUCAUUGUAUUGCUCUCUGAGAUGUACGUCGCUUUGGAGACAACCCAGCCAUCCUGCUAGUCAAGGGAAAAGGACCCGCUCUGUGAUCCCUGCCCCGUGUCACCGCUGGUGGCCAGGGUGGCGUGGCAGGCUCUUGUUUCCUGCCUCUCAUGGCGCAUUGCUGGCAAAGCCCUGCAAACCGUAUUUAAUCUUUCCUUAAUAUUACAAGAGUUAUGCAGCAGACUGGCAGCCCGUGCCGCUUGGGAGUGAUGAUUAAUGGGGAAUGUCAGGGCUGCUUCUGUUAGCGGUUCAAUUUAUAGAGAAAGAACAAACACAUUGUCAAAAUAAGAGAGGUGAGCACAACAGAAGAAAUGUGAAAUUAAAACAAACUAAGGUCCCUCUCUGUUAUACCUUUAAAGCAAAGGAAUCGGCACCGUCAUAUUGCUUCGCCGCCUUCGGAGCCAGGAAUUCCAUCAGAUGGGCCAUACCUGGUUGUACCUUGUUGUACCUGAAUGUCGUUCCCUGGCUGCACGCAGAUGCCAAGGCACUGAAGCAAACAUCCCAGAAUAAACAAGUUGUGUAUUAGUUCAGCGUCUGUCCCCAAUACUGAGAACAACUUGCCUGAUCCUCUGAAUCCAGACAAACGACCCCGCACUUGGGUCCUUUCGUCCCGUUUCAUCGUGACAACCAGAGCAGCACAGAGCAGACCUGUAGAAGAAUAAAACUUGAAUCACAGCAAACAUCAGCAAGAACAUCGUCCUGCCCAGACAGCAGCUUAGAACCAGGGAUCCAGGCAAUUUGUACAUUUAAACUGUGUGACGUUUAUGAUUAGUUGUUAUAUAAGAAAAAAAUCCAA